RNAcentral lists this long non-coding RNA (998 nucleotides) under Salmo salar (Atlantic salmon). RNAcentral describes it as "lncRNA (ENSSSAG00000120464.1)". The record is from RNAcentral. Lineage: Eukaryota; Metazoa; Chordata; Actinopteri; Salmoniformes; Salmonidae.
CAGUCACGUAGCUUUCUGUUACCCUGGAGGUCCACUCCUCUGUGGUGUAGUGAGCAGUCACGUAGCUUUCUGUUACCCUGGAGGUCCACUCCUCUGUGGUGUAGUGAGCAGUCACGUAGCUUUCUGUUACCCUGGAGGUCCACUCCUCUGUGGUGUAGUGAGCAGUCACAGUCACGUAGCUUUCUGUUACCCUGGAGGUCCACUCCUCUGUGGUGUAGUGAGCAGUCACAGUCACGUAGCUUUCUGUUACCCUGGAGGUCCACUCCUCUGUGGUGUAGUGAGCAGUCACAGUCACGUAGCUUUCUGUUACCCUGGAGGUCCACCUGUCUGUGUUGAGGGCAACAGAGGAUGCCUUGGAUAAUUUGUCGACAAUUUUGGGGAUUUCAUAGCGUGGCUCAAGCACUUUCACCAUAUUUUUAAACCCUUUGUUUUCCACAACAGAGUAUGGCCUCAUGUCUGCAGUGAUAAACAUCCCAAUAGAUUUGGUGAUGGCUUCAGCCCGGUCUGAUUCUGCAGCAAAGGGCUUAAAUGUCGCGGUGAGAAGUUGUUGUCUCUUGGCUGAGUUGGCUCCCGUCACUGACACACCAGGGUGACGACGCUUUAAAUGAGUGUCCAUGCUCCAUGUAUUUCCAUGAUCAUACGGCUUUCAUGUGGCACAAUGGCUACACACCGUAAUGGUGUUGUCCACCACCCUUCUUCCAUCAUCAUAUUUGACAGGGAAGACAAAAUGCUCCCAUACAUGAGACUUAAAUGAAGCGGGAGGCUUUUCCAGUUCUUCAGCUCUUUUUUCUUCUUUGCAACGCGAGCAUCCAGGAUUGAUUCGUUGGGAUUCAACAUGCCUCGUUCACGUGAACAGUACACACAAGUGCUUUAAAAAAAGAAUAAAACCAACUUUCAGGCUUCAGAGUAAAACACAGCACGCAUCUGUUUUGUCUUUAUCUUUUCACUUUCGACUCAGCAUCGAGAUGUAGGGAAUUAUUACUUUAAAAAGUAACAGC